GUGAGGAAUAUUGCGCAAUGGAGGCAACUCUGACGCAGCCAUGCCGCGUGCAGGAAGAAGGCGCUACGCGUUGUAAACUGCUUUUAACCGGGAAGAAACCCCAGGACGUGUCCUGGGUUGACGGUACCGGAGGAAUAAGCACCGGCUAACUUCGUGCCAGCAGCCGCGGUAAUACGAAGGGUGCAAGCGUUAUCCGGAUUCAUUGGGUUUAAAGGGUGCGUAGGCGGAGCGUUAAGUCAGUGGUGAAAUCCUGCAGCUUAACUGUAGACUUGCCAUUGAUACUGGCGCUCUUGAGUGCGCUUGAAGUGGGCGGAAUGUGCCGUGUAGCGGUGAAAUGCUUAGAUAUGGCACAGAACACCAAUUGCGAAGGCAGCUCACUAAGGCGAUGCUGACGCUGAGGCACGAAAGCGUGGGGAUCGAACAGGAUUAGAAACCCGGGUAGUCC
Molecule: ribosomal RNA, 445 nt
Filed under: uncultured bacterium
Lineage: Bacteria
Description: partial 16S ribosomal RNA
Rfam family: Bacterial small subunit ribosomal RNA
Source: RNAcentral